UUCCGGUUGAUCCCGCCGGACCUGACUGCUAUCGGAUUGAUACUAAGCCAUGUGAGUCUUUGUAGCAAUACAAGGCAUACGGCUCAGUAACACGUAGCCAAUCUACCCUAUGGACGGGGAUAACCUCGGGAAACUGAGGAUAAUACCCGAUAGAUCAUUAUGCCUGGAACGGUUUAUGGUCUAAAUGAUUCGUCGCCAUAGGAUGGGACUGCGGCCUAUCAGCUUGUUGGUGAGGUAAUGGCCCACCAAGGCUAUUACAGGUACGGGCUCUGAGAGGAGAAGCCCGGAGAUGGGUACUGAGACACGGACCCAGGCCCUAUGGGGCGCAGCAGGCGAGAAAACUUUGCAAUGUGCGAAAGCACGACAAGGUUAAUCCGAGUGAUUCCUGCUAAAGGAAUCUUUUGUUAGUCGUAACACCACUGAUGAAUAAGGGGUGGGCAAGUUCUGGUGUCAGCCGCCGCGGUAAAACCAGCACCUCAAGUGGUCAGGAGGAUUAUUGGGCCUAUAGCAUCCGUAGCCUGCUCUGUAAGUUUCCGGUUAAAUCCAUCUGCUUAACUGAUGGGCUGCCGGAAAAACUGCAAAGCUAGGAAGUGGGAGAGGUAGACGGUACUCGGUAGGAAGGGGUAAAAUCCUUUGAUCUAUUGAUGACCACCAGUGGC
RNAcentral lists this ribosomal RNA (659 nucleotides) under uncultured archaeon. RNAcentral describes it as "bacterial SSU rRNA". It matches the Rfam family "Archaeal small subunit ribosomal RNA", at positions 1 to 667 of the family's 1478-position model. The record is from RNAcentral.